UCGGUCCCGGUUCACGUCCCGAUCACGAAAACGAUCUGGGCGACCCGGCGGCC
This 53-nucleotide non-coding RNA is filed under the name Nocardia higoensis NBRC 100133. RNAcentral's name for it is "L31-Actinobacteria ribosomal protein leader". It matches the Rfam family "L31-Actinobacteria ribosomal protein leader". Lineage: Bacteria; Bacillati; Actinomycetota; Actinomycetes; Mycobacteriales; Nocardiaceae. The record is from RNAcentral.